UACGUAGGUGGCAAGCGUUGUCCGGAAUUAUUGGGCGUAAAGCGCGCGCAGGCGGCUUUCUAAGUCCAUCUUAAAAGUGCGGGGCUUAACCCCGUGAUGGGAUGGAAACUGGGAAGCUGGAGUAUCGGAGAGGAAAGUGGAAUUCCUAGUGUAGCGGUGAAAUGCAUAGAGAUUAGGAAGAACACCGGUGGCGAAGGCGACUUUCUGGACGACAACUGACGCUGAGGCGCGAAAGCGUGGGGAGCAAACAGG
RNAcentral lists this ribosomal RNA (252 nucleotides) under Dialister succinatiphilus YIT 11850. RNAcentral describes it as "partial 16S ribosomal RNA". It matches the Rfam family "Bacterial small subunit ribosomal RNA", at positions 524 to 776 of the family's 1533-position model. The record is from RNAcentral. Lineage: Bacteria; Bacillati; Bacillota; Negativicutes; Veillonellales; Veillonellaceae.